CUGAUUAACUGGAUUCCUUUUUACUUUUUCAGUCCAAAGUGACUUUCUUUUCACUCUUUCAGAUCCUGACAAUUGUUUACUCUUCCUGUGUCCUUUUUAGUAUCUUUGUGGAUUCAAGAAUCUUUAGGAGGCAGAUUUUUAAAAAUGCAUAUCUGAUCAUCUCCUCUCAACUCUGUUCCUGCUCUUUAUGUGACGUUGGGCAAAUUACCUUGUUCCUCAGUUUUCUCACCUCCAAAAAGAGAAUGAUAACACUAGCACCUACCUCCUGUUGUGGGAAUUAUAUAAGACUGAACAUAAGGCACUUAGAAAAAGUCCUGGCCCUUAGUAAUGACUUGAUUAAUGUUAACUAUUAUUAUUGUUGUGACCUACAGAGAUCUUAAUGAUUUGCUUGUCCAAACUCCUCCAUUUUUAUAUAAAACAAAAGAAUUGGAUUUAUUUUUUUCUUUAAAAAUGUGUUUAUUUUUUAAAAAAUCAGUUGUGUACAAAAAUGUUUCGUAGUUUUUAACUCUCAAGACAAAUACCCAACUCUCCACCCACAGCCCACCCUGCUUCAAUGGUAUUU
Molecule: long non-coding RNA, 562 nt
Filed under: Homo sapiens (human)
Lineage: Eukaryota; Metazoa; Chordata; Mammalia; Primates; Hominidae
Description: non-protein coding lnc-CD58-8:3
Source: RNAcentral